RNAcentral lists this ribosomal RNA (253 nucleotides) under uncultured bacterium. RNAcentral describes it as "partial 16S ribosomal RNA". It matches the Rfam family "Bacterial small subunit ribosomal RNA", at positions 524 to 776 of the family's 1533-position model. The record is from RNAcentral.
UACGUAGGUGGCAAGCGUUGUCCGGAAUUAUUGGGCGUAAAGCGCGCGCAGGCGGUCCUUUAAGUCUGAUGUGAAAGCCCACGGCUCAACCGUGGAGGGUCAUUGGAAACUGGGGGACUUGAGUGCAGAAGAGGAAAGCGGAAUUCCACGUGUAGCGGUGAAAUGCGUAGAGAUGUGGAGGAACACCAGUGGCGAAGGCGGCUUUCUGGUCUGUAACUGACACUGAGGCGCGAAAGCGUGGGGAGCAAACAGG